Molecule: non-coding RNA, 203 nt
Organism: Cinara cedri
Lineage: Eukaryota; Metazoa; Arthropoda; Insecta; Hemiptera; Aphididae
Source: the annotation of a GenBank genome assembly
AGUAUAAAAUUCAAAAUAAUACCCUAUAAUAAUACCCGAAGGGUGGUCGCCCUAGAGAACAAACAGUACCUAUAUAGGCGUAUUGCAUAUUAUUUUGAGCCUAUAUAAAUAUUUUGGAAUCGCUUACCAAAGUCGGUUCAGAACUUAUACUGCAUCGUGUUUAUCGACCUCACUUGAGUCGCCUUCCACGUCAGCUGUAGGUG